This 1128-nucleotide long non-coding RNA is filed under the name Ovis aries (sheep). RNAcentral's name for it is "lncRNA (ENSOARG00000025942.1)". Lineage: Eukaryota; Metazoa; Chordata; Mammalia; Artiodactyla; Bovidae. The record is from RNAcentral.
CGGCUGUGCGCCCAGGACACCGCCCAGGAAUCCUCAGGCCUGGGCAGGCCCCCGGGACCAGGCAGGGACCCCCGGGGGCGGCAGCGGAGCAGGGGGCCUGGCGGGUACUCAGGAGGCUGCACAAGGUGGGCCCCGCUGUCCCAGGACCCGCAGCCUCUGCUGACCCCUGAGGCAUGUUUCCAGAGGACACAGGCCCCCAACUUUGGCUUGAGGGUGACUCCGGAGAAAUGGCCUGACACUCAGCGCUGGGCAGGGGCCUCCUCCCCGGUGUCCCCGGGCCCCACAUCCACAGAGCUAGCCCCGGAUGGAGUCAAGGGGCAUCAAACUGGGGACUCGACACAGCAAGAGCACAGGGCGUCCCGCUCUUGCUGUGAUCACAACUCUCACUGAGUCUGAGCCGUACGAUGCAGGAGAGAGAGGCCGUGAGGCUCCCCAGAAGCGGCAGCCAGUUAUCAGGGAACAAAGGGGCGUCUGCCGACAAACGGGGACCAGUCCCCUCGGCAGGUCGUCGCCUGGCCUGAGGGCCGUGGGCCCGCCACCUCGUGAGACAUGUGGGCCCCCCACUACGGCCCAGCCAAACCUGUGAUCUCUCCGCCUCAGUCGCCGCGUGGAGCAGGCCACACAGCCCCACACCAGGCCACUGCCGACGUCGCAGGAGCCAACCUUCUCUUCCAGAAGAGCCCCCACCCAGGGAUUCCCGCCAGUCCCCUGGGGAGGGCUCCGGACCCCUCAGGUGAAACAGCCGCCAGGGGUGGCCGGGCCAGGCAGCACGUGACGGCCCAGGCGGACCUCGGAGGGGGAAAGGCGGAGACAGAGGCAGGCCAGACCAAGGCUUCGGGAAGCGGGGGACACCCCGGCGGCUCCAGGAGGCCCCGGCCUGGAGCCUCAGUCCAGCCGCGGCCCGCGUCAGGCCAGGAGACAACGCUGAAUCACCAGCCGCCCCUGCCCGUGGCCUGUGUUCCUGGGGGCCCACCUUCUGGAAAAGCGCCUUCCUUCCCCGGAGUGGCCUCGCCAGCCCCGGGAGGCGCGGGCCCGGCCCCGCCCCGAAACCCGGGCUCAUCCAGCCCUGAUCACAGGCCAACAGAUGGCAGCCUCGCCUCCAGGCAUGAGAGCAGGGCUGCUAAGUGA